Molecule: ribosomal RNA, 304 nt
Filed under: uncultured bacterium
Lineage: Bacteria
Description: partial 16S ribosomal RNA
Rfam family: Bacterial small subunit ribosomal RNA
Source: RNAcentral
CAGCAGUCGCCACGGUAAUACGAAGGGUGCAAGCGUUAAUCGGAAUUACUGGGCGUAAAGCGUGCGUAGGCGGUGUGUUAAGUCUGCUGUGAAAUCCCCGGGCUCAACCUGGGAAUGGCAGUGGAUACUGGCUCGCUAGAGUGUGUCAGAGGAUGGUGGAAUUCCCGGUGUAGCGGUGAAAUGCGUAGAGAUCGGGAGGAACAUCAGUGGCGAAGGCGGCCAUCUGGAUCAACACUGACGCUGAGGCACGAAAGCGUGGGGAGCAAACAGGAUUAGAUACCCCCGUAGUCCCUGUCUCUUAUAC